RNAcentral lists this ribosomal RNA (465 nucleotides) under uncultured bacterium. RNAcentral's name for it is "partial 16S ribosomal RNA". It matches the Rfam family "Bacterial small subunit ribosomal RNA", at positions 339 to 795 of the family's 1533-position model. The record is from RNAcentral.
CUACGGGUUGCAGCAGUGGGGAAUAUUGGACAAUGGGGGAAACCCUGAUCCAGCAAUGCCGCGUGUGUGAAGAAGGCCUGCGGGUUGUAAAGCACUUUCGGUUGGGAGGACUGCUUCUAGCACUAAUAUUGUUGGAAGUUGACGUUACCUUCAGAAGAAGCACCGGCUAACUCCGUGCCAGUAGCCGCGGUAAUACGGCGGUGGCAAGCGUUAAUCGGAAUUACUGGGCGUAAAGCGCGCGUAGGCGGCUAGAUCAGUCGGGUGUGAAAGCCCCGGGCUUAACCUGGGAACUGCAUCCGAUACUGUCUAGCUUGAGUACAGGAGAGGAGAGUGGAAUUCCACAUGUAGCGGUGAAAUGCGUAGAUAUGUGGAGGAACACCAAUGGCGAAGGCAGCUCUCUGGCCUGAUACUGACGCUGAGGUGCGAAAGCGUGGGGAGCAAACAGGAUUAGAUACCCGAGUAGUC